This 406-nucleotide ribosomal RNA is filed under the name uncultured bacterium. RNAcentral's name for it is "partial 16S ribosomal RNA". It matches the Rfam family "Bacterial small subunit ribosomal RNA", at positions 30 to 526 of the family's 1533-position model. The record is from RNAcentral.
AUUGAACGCUGGCGGCAGGCCUAACACAUGCAAGUCGGGCGAGAGGCGGACGGGUGAGUAAUGUAUGGGGAUCUGCCUGAUGGAGGGGGAUCACUACUGUAAACGGUAGCUACUACUGCAUAACUUCAGUUGAACCCAUAGGGGAUUAGCUAGUGGGUGGGGUAACGGCUCACCUAGGCGACGAUCCCUAGCUGGUCUGAGAGGAUGAUCAGCCACACUGGGACUGAGACACGGCCCAGACUCCUACGGGAGGCAGCAGUGGGGAAUAUUGCACAAUGGGCGCAAGCCUGAUGCAGCCAUGCCGCGUGCAUGAAGAAGGCCUUCGGGUUGUAAAGUACUUUCAGUCGGGAGGCGUUACCGACAGAAGAAGCACCGGCUAACUCCGUGCCAGCAGCCGCGGUAAUUC